CACGUUAAAGGGCGUAGGCCGGGGGGCAGGUAAAUCCGUCCCCCACGAGGCUGAACCCCGACAGUACCCGGACCCGCAAGGGGAAGGGAUAGUGGAGGUAAUCAUGCUGCCAAGAAAAGCGUCGUAGUUUGUUAGAGUCGCUCGUACCCCAAACCGACACAGGUGGGUGAGGAGAGUAUCCUCAGGUGCUCGAGUAAUUCAUGGCUAAGGAACUAGGCAA
Molecule: ribosomal RNA, 220 nt
Filed under: Eutreptiella gymnastica
Lineage: Eukaryota; Euglenozoa; Euglenophyceae; Eutreptiales; Eutreptiaceae
Description: partial Bacterial large subunit ribosomal RNA
Rfam family: Bacterial large subunit ribosomal RNA
Source: RNAcentral